CAGGCACUUUUAGUUUUUGGGCUUCGUUUUUGAAUUCAAGUAAUCUUGCAUUUUUGUUCCCUCACAGGUUUCUAUCUGAGGCUUUGUUUACCUUGCUGAGUUCUGGCUUCGUUUCCAGAGUUUCUCUGAGCUUCUGGAUUAACUACUGAGUUAAGAAACUACCUUCUUGUGGAUUUCUCUCACUUCCGUCUGAACCUUUCGGACACGGACCAAGCUGGUGGGUUCCCGUUUUCUUCGACUCCAAGACCCAGGCAUCAGCACACCCUGCUUCUUUCUCCUUCUCAAACAUCGACACCUGAGCUCCUUCUUGCUGGCACCAAGCUCACAACAGAAAAGACAACUGGACAAUUCCCCUUUGCAAGUUAAGACUCUGAAUUGCUCUACCCCUGGCGGUUCUUGCUACAACAAUUUAUUGGUGUUCCUGUCCUUGAUUACUUGACAAUAAAAACCGUAAAACGUUU
Molecule: long non-coding RNA, 461 nt
Organism: Girardinichthys multiradiatus
Lineage: Eukaryota; Metazoa; Chordata; Actinopteri; Cyprinodontiformes; Goodeidae
Exons: 2
Source: RefSeq, a predicted model, not a curated record